AUUGAACGCUGGCGGCAUGCUUUACACAUGCAAGUCGAACGGCAGCGCGGGCUUCGGCCUGGCGGCGCGUGGCGAACGGGUGAGUGAUACACCGGAACGUGCCCAGCAGUUGGGGCUGGGUCGACGAAAGCCGGAUUGAUACCGCAUAGGACCUGAUGUUGAAAGCGGGGGUUCUUUAGAGCUCGCGGUAUUUGAGCGCCCGAGGGCAGAUUAGCUAGUUGGUAGGGUAAGGGCCUACCAAGGCGACGAUCCGUAGCCGACCUGAGAGGCCGACCUGCCACACUGGAACUGAGACACGGUCCAGACUCCUACGGGAGGCAGCAGUAGGGAAUUUUGGGCAAUGGGCGAAAGCCUGAUCGAGCAAUGCCGCGUGUGUGAUGAAGGUCUUCGGGUCGUAAAGCACUGUUGGUGGGGAAGAAAAAGAGUGUAAGUAAACAUCGACGUGUUGACGGUACCCGCAGAAAAAGCACCGGCUAACUACGUG
RNAcentral lists this ribosomal RNA (484 nucleotides) under uncultured bacterium. Its description in RNAcentral is "partial 16S ribosomal RNA". It matches the Rfam family "Bacterial small subunit ribosomal RNA", at positions 29 to 507 of the family's 1533-position model. The record is from RNAcentral.